CAUUACAGAUGCUCAAUUUUCUCCUUAUGUGGAUAAGAUGGCUUUCUCUCCUACUUCAUCCCCCGGAUACAGCCCGUCAUCCCCUGGUUACAGCCCGUCGUCCCCUGGUUACAGCCCGACCUCUCCAGGUUACAGCCCCACAUCCCCAGGUUACAGCCCCACGUCCCCGGGGUACAGCCCCACUUCCCCCACUUAUAGCCCCAGCUCUCCUGGCUACAGCCCGACAAGUCCGGCAUAUUCCCCAACCAGUCCAUCGUACUCUCCCACAUCACCCAGUUAUAGUCCAACAUCUCCGAGCUAUAGCCCUACAUCUCCUAGUUAUAGCCCAACAUCGCCUAGCUAUAGCCCUACUUCUCCUGCAUACAGCCCCACUUCGCCUGCCUACAGCCCCACUUCGCCUGCCUACAGCCCCACUUCUCCAUCUUACAGCCCCACUUCGCCAUCUUACAGCCCCACCUCACCUUCUUACAGCCCCACCUCGCCUUCAUAUAGCCCCACCUCACCAAGUUAUAGUCCAACUUCUCCAUCAUAUAGUCCCACUUCUCCUGCAUACAGUCCUACCUCCCCUGGUUACAGCCCAACAUCUCCCAGUUACAGCCCAACAUCACCAUCAUAUAGUCCUACAUCACCAAGUUACAAUCCCUCGGCUAGAUACAGCCCCUCCCUUGCAUAUUCGCCAACCAGUCCAAAGCUGUCUCCUUCUAGUCCAUACAGCCCGUCAUCUCCAAGUUACAG
Molecule: long non-coding RNA, 735 nt
Filed under: Nicotiana tabacum (common tobacco)
Lineage: Eukaryota; Viridiplantae; Streptophyta; Magnoliopsida; Solanales; Solanaceae
Description: long non-coding RNA (NTAB_LNC001599)
Source: RNAcentral